AGGGCAGAGGGAAAGGGGGGCUGCUGAGACAGGGGUUUCAACGCCCAAAGGGCCCUGCCAUUGCAUUCCUGUCCUCAUGCUGUUCAAAAGGUUUUCAUAAAAUUAUUUUUUCUAUCACGCUUUUGAUAGCCAAACAUCUCCUUUAUUCUCAGUAAAACAAAUAGAACAGAGGAGCCCAACAUGCAGCGAAGUUAAACCAAUUGCCCGAAUCCUUCCGCUGGUCAGCGGUGGGGCCCAAAUUCCACCUCAGACCCUGCUCCUUUCCUUUCUUGAGUGAUUGUCGCUGCAGCCCCGAGGUAAGGGAGGUGGCCUCACUUUACAGGGAGAAAGCCGAGGCCCUGAGCAGGUGGAAGCUGGCUGUGAGUCAUGUGGCUGCGCGGGGCUCGGAUCCCAUGGCUCUUCUGUGACGACCUGCAGGGCCAGUUCCUUCACUCACCGAGAGUUCUUAAGGCCUCUCUGAGUCAGAGGACUCCUACUUAAUACCGGUUUCGGCCCGCUGACCUAUUAUUAUUUUUUUCCCCUCUGAGCAUCCGGAAAGGGCUGGCGUGGUGCAGCGGCAGAGACCUGGGCCUGCAAGAGGAAGAGAAUCGCCUGAGGACACAGGAGCGGGGACGGGAGCCAGGCUUUGAGUCAGUCCUCCCUCUCCUGGGCAAGCCAUGGAUCAUCCUGCCCAGCACUUCUCGUCCUUGACGGCUGAGUUCUGAAGGGAGGAAGGCAAGACCCGAAGAGACAGAUGGACACUCCCAGGAUGACACAGUUCACAGCAAGGCCAAGAUGCAAAUUAAUCUCCUAACUCUCAUUACAACAGCUUCUACUUUU
RNAcentral lists this long non-coding RNA (819 nucleotides) under Homo sapiens (human). RNAcentral's name for it is "HSALNT0350312". The record is from RNAcentral. Lineage: Eukaryota; Metazoa; Chordata; Mammalia; Primates; Hominidae.